CGGGGUGUAGCGCAGCUUGGUAGCGCGCUUCGUUCGGGACGAAGAGGCCGGAGGUUCAAAUCCUCUCACCCCGACCA
Molecule: transfer RNA, 77 nt
Filed under: Candidatus Omnitrophota bacterium
Lineage: Bacteria; Pseudomonadati; Candidatus Omnitrophota
Description: Candidatus Omnitrophica bacterium tRNA-Pro
Rfam family: tRNA
About the family: Transfer RNA (tRNA) molecules are approximately 80 nucleotides in length. Their secondary structure includes four short double-helical elements and three loops (D, anti-codon, and T loops). Further hydrogen bonds mediate the characteristic L-shaped molecular structure. tRNAs have two regions of fundamental functional importance: the anti-codon, which is responsible for specific mRNA codon recognition, and the 3' end, to which the tRNAs corresponding amino acid is attached (by aminoacyl-tRNA synthetases). tRNAs cope with the degeneracy of the genetic code in two manners: having more than one tRNA (with a specific anti-codon) for a particular amino acid; and 'wobble' base-pairing, i.e. permitting non-standard base-pairing at the 3rd anti-codon position.
Source: RNAcentral